RNAcentral lists this ribosomal RNA (425 nucleotides) under uncultured microorganism. RNAcentral describes it as "bacterial SSU rRNA". It matches the Rfam family "Archaeal small subunit ribosomal RNA", at positions 330 to 759 of the family's 1478-position model. The record is from RNAcentral.
GCGCACCAGGCGCGAAACCUCCGCAAUGCGCGAAAGCGCGACGGGGUUACCCCGAGUGCCGUCCGCUGAGGACGGCUUUUGCCCAGUGUAGCCAGCUGGGCGAAUAAGGAGAGGGCAAGUCUGGUGUCAGCCGCCGCGGUAAUACCAGCUCUCCGAGUGGUGGGGACGCUUAUUGGGCCUAAAGCAUCCGUAGCCGGUCUGGCAAGUCCCUUGUUAAAACCAACGAUUCAAUCGUUGGACUGCAAGGGAUACUGCCAGACUAGGGGGCGGGAGAGGCCGACGGUAUUCCCGGGGUAGGGUGAAAUCCUAUAAUCCCGGGAGGACCACCAGUGGCGAAGGCUGUCGGCUAGAACGCGCCCGACGGUGAGGGAUGAAAGCUGGGGGAGCGAACCGGAUUAGAUACCCCUGUAGUCCCUGAGACUCCA